RNAcentral lists this ribosomal RNA (253 nucleotides) under uncultured bacterium. RNAcentral describes it as "partial 16S ribosomal RNA". It matches the Rfam family "Bacterial small subunit ribosomal RNA", at positions 524 to 776 of the family's 1533-position model. The record is from RNAcentral.
UACGGAGGGUGCGAGCGUUGUUCGGAAUCACUGGGCGUAAAGGGCGUGUAGGCGGUCUGGUAAGUCUGAUGUGAAAGCCCGGGGCUCACCCCCGGAAGUGCAUUGGAUACUGGCGGACUCGAGUCCCGGAGAGGAGGGUGGAAUUCCUGGUGUAGCGGUGAAAUGCGUAGAUAUCAGGAGGAACACCGGUGGCGAAGGCGGCCCUCUGGACGGUGACUGACGCUGAGACGCGAAAGCGUGGGGAGCAAACGGG